This 2060-nucleotide unclassified non-coding RNA is filed under the name uncultured fungus. Its description in RNAcentral is "sequence contains 18S rRNA gene, ITS1, 5.8S rRNA gene, ITS2, 28S rRNA gene". The stretch from base 940 to 2060 matches the Rfam family "Eukaryotic large subunit ribosomal RNA", at positions 1 to 961 of the family's 3401-position model. Lineage: Eukaryota; Fungi. The record is from RNAcentral.
GGAAGGAUCAUUAACAAUCACACGUGGGUGGGGUGGUCAGUGGACGCGAAAGCGCUCUCCUGUCCACCCUGCUUUACUACAAAAACCCAAAGGUUGCGUCACCUUUUGGCUGGCGCGACCUUCGGUAGUCUGGAUUGCUGCGCUUGCUUUUGCAAGCGUGCGCAUGAAGGGCUUUGUUUGGUCGUCGUUGUUCUCCGGCUGCUGGUCUGCAGCAGUGUGCCGUGUUCAUGUGCUGUGCACUGUUUUGCAUGUAUGCAUUGGACACACGCACUGCUGUAGUCCUGGCGCCAGGGACAAUUGACGCUCCACAUAAACAAAGUACACUGUUUUUUUAAUGUUUGACUAAGUUAUAUAAACAACCAAAUUAUAUACAACUUUUAACAAUGGAUCUCUUGGCUCUUGCAUCGAUGAAGAACGCAGUGAAUCGCGAUAUGUAAUGUGAAUCGCACAAACCUGUGAGUCAUCGAAUCUUUGAACGCACAUUGCACCCAUUGGUUUUUAUCAAUGGGUAUGCCUGUUUGAGAAUCGUAUUACCAUUUCUAACCUAUCCUGUGUUUGUGCCUGCUUUGGUGGGCAUGAUGGCAUGGGUGUGGUUACGGAGUUGAGGCCUUAACGACUGAUCGAUCACUCGCUCGGUUGUUGGUCUUGAAAUUGAGGGUACUGCCAGGUUGGUUGGUCAACAACGGCUUGCUCAACACGGUAACACGUGUUGUGUGGGCUUGCACCAGACCAGUCUUAGGGCUCUGUGUGGUAGGGUGUGUCGUGUCGGUGUCAGCUUGACACUUGACUGGACAACGCCAAUAGCACUUUGCCCGUCUUCUGUCCCCCAAAAGUGGUCAGAAGGGACUGUUGUCUCUGGUGGCGCGACCUAGCAGUCCACAGCCGAGGCCUCACCGCCUCACUCAACGCAUGCGUGUUUACACGUGUGCACUGGUCCAAUGAUCUCAAAUCAGGCAAGACUACCCGCUGAACUUAAGCAUAUCAGUAAGCGGAGGAAAAGAAACUAACAAGGAUUCCCCUAGUAGCGGCGAGUGAAGCGGGAACAGCUCAAAUUUAAAAUCUGGGAGGCGUUCCGUCUCUCCGAAUUGUAAUUUAAAGAGGCGUGUUCGGGGAAGGAUCGGUGGACAAGUUCCUUGGAAUAGGACAUCAAAGAGGGUGAGAAUCCCGUUUGGCCACUGAUACAACCGACCCCAUCAUGUCACGUCCUCAAAGAGUCGGGUUGUUUGGGAAUGCAGCCCAAAAUGGGUGGUAAAUUUCAUCUAAGGCUAAAUAUUGGCAAGAGACCGAUAGCGAACAAGUACCGUGAGGGAAAGAUGAAAAGAACUUUGAAAAGAGAGUUAAAUAGUGCGUGAAAUUGUUAAAAGGGAAACGAUUGAGACCAGUAUGGCCGGCGUGAUUUAGCUGUUCUUGCUGGACCGAUCGGGCGUGGGAGCUGUCAAAGGCCCCAAGCCUGGUUUGGGCAAAAGCGACGCAGUGUCCUUUCACGUCGGCACAGUCAGCGUCAGUUUGGCGUGCUGGAUAAGGGCUGGGGGAAGGUGACGCUUGCUUCGGCAAGUCGUUUUAUAGACCCCGGACUCCUGCAGCGUGCCGGACUGAGGAUCGCAGCAGGGCUGAAAGCAGGUCUGAUCUGGGGCCGGUUCUGGGUGAAUCUCAACGUGUUGAGACCGCCAACUGGCCACGGACCUCGGGCCUGCGGACCCUGUCUAAGGAUGCUGACGAAAUGGUCUUAAACGACCCGUCUUGAAACACGGACCAAGGAGUCUAACAUAUAUGCGAGUAUUCGGGUGGCAAACCCAAAUGCGCAAUGAAAGUGAAUUCGGGUGUGAUCCCUGUUCCUCACAAGGGGGCGGGGUGCAACAUCGACCGAUCUUGAUAUCUUUUGAUAGAUUUGAGUAAGAGCAUAUCUGUUAGGACCCGAAAGAUGGUGAACUAUGCCUGGGUAGGGUGAAGCCAGAGGAAACUCUGGUGGAGGCUCGUAGCGGUUCUGACGUGCAAAUCGAUCGUCAAACCUGGGUAUAGGGGCGAAAGACUAAUCGAACCAUCUAGUAGCUGGUUCCCUC